UACGUAGGGUGCAAGCGUUGUCCGGAAUUAUUGGGCGUAAAGAGCUCGUAGGCGGCUUGUCGCGUCGGCUGUGAAAACCUGGGGCUCAACCCCGGGCCUGCAGCCGAUACGGGCAAGCUAGAAUUCGGUAGGGGAGACUGGAAUUCCUGGUGUAGCGGUGAAAUGACGCAGAUAUCAGGAGGAACACCGGUGGCGAAGGCGGGUCUCUGGGGCCGAUAUUGACGCUGAGGAGCGAAAGCGUGGGGAGCGAACAGG
This 255-nucleotide ribosomal RNA is filed under the name uncultured bacterium. RNAcentral describes it as "partial 16S ribosomal RNA". It matches the Rfam family "Bacterial small subunit ribosomal RNA", at positions 524 to 776 of the family's 1533-position model. The record is from RNAcentral.